This 80-nucleotide long non-coding RNA is filed under the name Chinchilla lanigera (long-tailed chinchilla). RNAcentral describes it as "ST7 overlapping transcript 3 conserved region 1 (ENSCLAG00000020229.1)". It matches the Rfam family "ST7 overlapping transcript 3 conserved region 1". The record is from RNAcentral. Lineage: Eukaryota; Metazoa; Chordata; Mammalia; Rodentia; Chinchillidae.
AGAAGACUUAUAUGACCAUAAGAUGGCAAAGAAGUAGAAGGAAAAUUGAACAAAUUCCUGCAGUCACCAGCUUUGUUUAA